This 65-nucleotide transfer RNA is filed under the name bovine gut metagenome. It matches the Rfam family "tRNA", at positions 5 to 66 of the family's 71-position model. Rfam says of the family: Transfer RNA (tRNA) molecules are approximately 80 nucleotides in length. Their secondary structure includes four short double-helical elements and three loops (D, anti-codon, and T loops). Further hydrogen bonds mediate the characteristic L-shaped molecular structure. tRNAs have two regions of fundamental functional importance: the anti-codon, which is responsible for specific mRNA codon recognition, and the 3' end, to which the tRNAs corresponding amino acid is attached (by aminoacyl-tRNA synthetases). tRNAs cope with the degeneracy of the genetic code in two manners: having more than one tRNA (with a specific anti-codon) for a particular amino acid; and 'wobble' base-pairing, i.e. permitting non-standard base-pairing at the 3rd anti-codon position. The record is from RNAcentral.
CAAUAGCUCAGCAGGAUAGAGCAAUUGCCUUCUAAGCAAUAGGUCGGGGGUUCGAAUCCCUCUUG